GUAUUAUUACAAUCUGCAUUACACAGAAACGACAUUCAAGGACGUUGUUGAGGCACAGUUCACAGGAAUUAUGAAAUAGAGUUUGUGGGGUACGCGCCAGGAGUCGCCCCCUGGCCCCCCCCCUACUAUUCAUUAAUGAUCCUUCCGCAGGUUCACCUACGGAAA
This 165-nucleotide unclassified non-coding RNA is filed under the name uncultured fungus. Its description in RNAcentral is "sequence contains ITS1". Lineage: Eukaryota; Fungi. The record is from RNAcentral.